This is a non-coding RNA of Nematostella vectensis (starlet sea anemone), 72 nucleotides long. NCBI's taxonomy places the organism in Eukaryota, Metazoa, Cnidaria, Anthozoa, Actiniaria, Edwardsiidae. The record is from Rfam.
GGCUCAGUGGUGUAGUGGUAUGAUUCUCGCUUUGGGUGCGAGAGGCCACGGGUUGCAUUCCCGUCUGAGCCC